UCCGUAGGUGAACCUGCGGAAGGAUCAUUACAGUAUGAAUAGAGGGAUGGUGCUGGCCCCUUUGGGGGCAUGUGCACGCCUUCAAUUUCAAUCCACAUACACCUGUGCACCACGGACGAGUUUAGACUCCACUGUGUCAUUCAGUGAGUCGUUUCUUGGGGGGGAUAUGAUACACCAUACCCUUCAAGGAAUUGAGUCUGGACUCUGUCUAUUUCAUUACACUAAUGCCUGUAUAAAAUGCAUGUAUUUUGGCUCUACGGAGCUCUAAAUAAAAUACAACUUUCAACAACGGAUCUCUUGGCUUCCGCAUCGAUGAAGAACGCAGCGAACGUGCGAAACGUAAUGUGAAUUGCAGAAUUCAGUGAAUCAUCGAAUCUUUGAACGCAUCUUGCACUCCUUGGUAUUCCGAGGAGUAUGCCUGUUUGAGUGUCGUGAAUACUCUCAAACUUGACCUUUUCUUAAUUGAAAUGGGGUCAUAGUUUGGACUUGGAUGCUGCUGCGUUGGCCCUUGGGGGUCGUUGCGGCUCGUCUCGAAAUGCAUUAGCUGGCCGACUCUUGGUCUAUAAAGCUAUCAACGGUGUGAUAAGAAACAAUUCAAUUUGUUGAUUGUAGCGCUGUUGUUUUAUGGGCCGUGUCAAUGACUGCUUCUAAUAGUCCAUUAAGUUGGACAAUAGAUUUAUUUUCAUGUCAUCUGACCUCAAAUCAGGUAGGACUACCCGCUGAACUUAAGCAUAUCAAUAAGCGGAGGA
This 749-nucleotide ribosomal RNA is filed under the name uncultured Basidiomycota. Its description in RNAcentral is "eukaryotic LSU rRNA". The stretch from base 278 to 432 matches the Rfam family "5.8S ribosomal RNA". The record is from RNAcentral. Lineage: Eukaryota; Fungi; Basidiomycota.